Molecule: long non-coding RNA, 236 nt
Filed under: Sorghum bicolor (sorghum)
Lineage: Eukaryota; Viridiplantae; Streptophyta; Magnoliopsida; Poales; Poaceae
Description: long non-coding RNA (SBIC_LNC016403)
Source: RNAcentral
GGCACAGAUUCACAUAUACGAAGAUCUGACAAAAUUUCCUAGCUUGCAGUAUUAAAAAGCUCUUCUUUUUUUAUUAACAGAACUGCUCAAUGGUAGCAUUACGUUUGCUAGAGGGUUAUUGAGUUCUAUAAUCUAUUUAAAGUAGUUGAGCUAUAUGCUGAAAUUUUCUUUUCGAAGCAUUGCACAAGGGUCUGAAUGAGUAUUCAACAGCCAUUCAUUACCAUUUUAGUGUCCAA